Triticum urartu is the source of this 2098-nucleotide RNA transcript. RefSeq lists it as uncharacterized. The record is from RefSeq and is a predicted model, not a curated record. Lineage: Eukaryota; Viridiplantae; Streptophyta; Magnoliopsida; Poales; Poaceae.
CCAAUGAGAAACGUCGUGGGUGGACUGUCCAACAGAGAAACACGAUAAUUAUCAGCCAAUUCAUCAUUUGUCUGAGUGUUUAUAUGUCUUUGCCUCUUGAAAGGAAGUUCCGUAUCGUGUUCGACACGUCGCUUUAGCUCUCCAACAUCGGCAUCAGAUUGUACCACCACAUCAUAAUCAUUGCCACACCAUUUCACUUGAACAGUAGUUGUCUUGGCGGGCACAUUCUCUUCCAGCAUAUCUGUAUCAGUGGAUGAUGCCAUGUCUGCAAUGUGUAGAGUAGAAUAUAAAGGUAGCAUAUCAGAGGAUGUGUGUGUGUGUCUUUAAUGCUGAUUUGCAUGCCAACAUCCCUAAAAAUAAAUAGACAUGGAUAGAUGGGCGUGUGUGUGUUUAAUGCGGAACGCGCAUGCCAACAAAGGAAAAUGAAGUGUUACUAGUACUCCUACCACUGCGCAUUCACAGUCAGCUUACUGCGCCCUCCAAUUAAUUCAAGCAUCGAAUAAUCUGAAGCAACAACAAGUUUUCGCAUGUUCCUCCCCAUUAGUCAGGCUUCGUAACUACUAAUCGCAAGCCCCAAAUCACAUGCAUUCCCGGUAAAUUAGCAAGCCGAACAUCGAAUAGGACCACGCCAACCUCCAGGUAGGGAUUAUUAUACCUGAGGCUGGCCCCAAUGCAGAGAACUUCAGCAAGAACUUUGGAUCCAACUCAGCAAAAAUUCCUACGUGGCAUUGAUUAAAUGAAGAGAGAGAGCUUUGGAGGAACUUAGCUAGUUCCGGUAACAUAGCGCUGCAUACGAGAAAAAAUUAAUGCUAAUCGAUCCUGUGUGCGGGCGGCCGGACGCAUCGCGAAGCAACCAAGAAAAUCCCCACCCGUGUGACUUUCUCUUCCUCCACGGCUGGGCCUCAUCCUUCUCCCUCCCUGCCGCCUUGGAGCUCCGGCGCCCCGCACUCCGUCUUGCCGGCCGGCGGCGGCUCUGGCAGGCGGCGCAAAGCCACCAGAUUCAUGGCCAAGUCCGGUGCCCGUAAGGACGCCGCGCAAGUCCGGCCAUCGGCCACCUCGCCGCCGCCGCAUCACUUCCCCGGCGCCACAGCAAGCUCGUACGCCAGCCGCUCUCCACAGCUUCUCUUCUACCCCGGCGCCCCGACAAGAUCCUCGGCCAGCCCCUCGACACCGCCACACCUGUACCCGCCUCUCAUGGAAUCCUCCUCAGCCAACCCUACAUGGUAUAAAAUUUCUGCUUUAAUUCAAUCUUUGGCAAUUACAAUUUCUCUAGCUCGAGUAUGCAGCAUUAUGCAAUUCUAUUUGGGUUAUAGAGCAGCAUUAGGUAAUUGUAAUUUCUAUAGCUCGAGUACCUGAUUCAGCAUGUGUGCGUGUUGAAGCAGAGAGACUCUGAAGUCUUAGCCUUAAUUUCUGUAGCAUUAGACCAUUGCAAUUCUUCAGGUUUUUGCUUGCUGAAUCGGAUUUCGCUGUGGACGUAGCAGGAUAUGCAAGUCCCCCGUGAUGUGUGUCUGUGUGCUUAUUGUGCAAACGGUUUACUGCUAUAUCAGACACUUGAACUUGGAUGUGCUUCGCUUGUUUGUUUGUACUUUUUUCUUGCAAUGAUUAGAACAGACAAAAGUUUCUAAUAGCAAGCUUUGGAGGCCAUAUUAUUUCCCGAAGAAGCUUCAGGUAUUGUUAUUUUCUGUCUUUCGACUGGUUAAUUCCCAAGCACAUGUACUCAUUUCAAGCAUCUCCAAGCAACUACUGACUAUUUUAUUUGUCUACAGUUUGACAAGUUGAUCAAGGUGAAUAGCAUGAUUUUUGGUUCAGCUAAUUAUUCAGGUGAUUGAAGGGAAAAAGUGGUGCACUAUGAAGCAUAUUAGAAAUUGGCUCGGUCAGUUUGUUGUGUGAACCUGAUGGAUCGUUCAUCACUUUUGUUGUCCGGUCAGUUUAUUGUGUGCACCGAUCGGCUACUCUAAAAUUGAUGUGAACGUGAUGGUUUGCUGUUAGCUUUUGGACUGAUCAGCUACUACUAUUGUCAGUUACCUUUUAUGAAUCAUCGGUGAAGCUACUCUAAUUGAUGUGCGUUACUGUUACCUGAUGGACCGAUCAGCUACUA